CUACGGGGGGCACCAGUGGGGAAUAUUGGACAAUGGACCAAAAGUCUGAUCCAGCAAUUCUGUGUGCACGAUGAAGGUCUUCGGAUUGUAAAGUGCUUUCAGUAGGGAAGAAGAAUGUGACGGUACCUACAGAAGAAGCGACGGCUAAAUACGUGCCAGCAGGCCGCGGUAAUACGUAUGUCGCAAGCGUUAUCCGGAAUUAUUGGGCAUAAAGGGCGUCUAGGUGGUUUACUAAGUCUGAUGUGAAAAUGCGGGGCUCAACUCCGUAUUGCGUUGGAAACUGGUGUACUAGAGUCUUGGAGAGGUGGGCGGAACUACAAGUGUAGAGGUGAAAUUCGUAGAUAUUUGUAGGAAUGCCGAUGACGAAGGUAGCUCACUGGACAAGUACUGACACUAAAGCGCGAAAGCUAGGGGAGCAAACAGGAUUAGAUACCCCGGUAGUC
Molecule: ribosomal RNA, 443 nt
Filed under: uncultured bacterium
Lineage: Bacteria
Description: partial 16S ribosomal RNA
Rfam family: Bacterial small subunit ribosomal RNA
Source: RNAcentral